AGCUUGCUCCCUGGUGGCGAGCGGCGGACGGGUGAGUAAUGCAUAGGAAUCUGCCCGGUAGUGGGGGAUAACCUGGGGAAACCCAGGCUAAUACCGCAUACGUCCUACGGGAGAAAGCAGGGGACCUUCGGGCCUUGCGCUAUCGGAUGAGCCUAUGUCGGAUUAGCUGGUUGGUGAGGUAACGGCUCACCAAGGCGACGAUCCGUAGCUGGUCUGAGAGGAUGAUCAGCCACAUCGGGACUGAGACACGGCCCGAACUCCUACGGGAGGCAGCAGUGGGGAAUAUUGGACAAUGGGCGCAAGCCUGAUCCAGCCAUGCCGCGUGUGUGAAGAAGGCCCUCGGGUUGUAAAGCACUUUCAGUGGGGAAGAACGCCUUCCGGCUAAUACCCGGAAGGAAAGACAUCACCCACAGAAGAAGCACCGGCUAACUCCGUGCCAGCAGCCGCGGUAAUACGGAGGGUGCGAGCGUUAAUCGGAAUUACUGGGCGUAAAGCGCGCGUAGGCGGCUUGAUAAGCCGGUUGUGAAAGCCCCGGGCUCAACCUGGGAACGGCAUCCGGAACUGUCAGGCUAGAGUGCAGGAGAGGAAGGUAGAAUUCCCGGUGUAGCGGUGAAAUGCGUAGAGAUCGGGAGGAAUACCAGUGGCGAAGGCGGCCUUCUGGACUGACACUGACGCUGAGGUGCGAAAGCGUGGGUAGCAAACAGGAUUAGAUACCCUGGUAGUCCACGCCGUAAACGAUGUCGACUAGCCGUUGGGUCCUUCGCGGACUUUGUGGCGCAGUUAACGCGAUAAGUCGACCGCCUGGGGAGUACGGCCGCAAGGUUAAAACUCAAAUGAAUUGACGGGGGCCCGCACAAGCGGUGGAGCAUGUGGUUUAAUUCGAUGCAACGCGAAGAACCUUACCUACCCUUGACAUCCUGCGAACCCUUCGGAGACGAAGGGGUGCCUUCGGGAACGCAGAGACAGGUGCUGCAUGGCUGUCGUCAGCUCGUGUUGUGAAAUGUUGGGUUAAGUCCCGUAACGAGCGCAACCCUUGUCCCUAUUUGCCAGCGAUUCGGUCGGGAACUCUAGGGAGACUGCCGGUGACAAACCGGAGGAAGGUGGGGACGACGUCAAGUCAUCAUGGCCCUUACGGGUAGGGCUACACACGUGCUACAAUGGUCAGUACAAAGGGUUGCGAACUUGCGAGAGUGAGCCAAUCCCAGAAAGCUGAUCUCAGUCCGGAUCGGAGUCUGCAACUCGACUCCGUGAAGUCGGAAUCGCUAGUAAUCGUGAAUCAGAAUGUCACGGUGAAUACGUUCCCGGGCCUUGUACACACCGCCCGUCACACCAUGGGAGUGGACUGCACCAGAAGUAGGUUAGCCUAAC
RNAcentral lists this ribosomal RNA (1368 nucleotides) under Halomonas sp. RNAcentral describes it as "bacterial SSU rRNA". It matches the Rfam family "Bacterial small subunit ribosomal RNA", at positions 77 to 1440 of the family's 1533-position model. The record is from RNAcentral. Lineage: Bacteria; Pseudomonadati; Pseudomonadota; Gammaproteobacteria; Oceanospirillales; Halomonadaceae.